UACGGAGGGAGCUAGCGUUGUUCGGAAUUACUGGGCGUAAAGCGCGCGUAGGCGGCUUUGUAAGUUAGAGGUGAAAGCCCGGGGCUCAACUCCGGAACUGCCUUUAAGACUGCAUCGCUUGAAUCCGGGAGAGGUGAGUGGAAUUCCGAGUGUAGAGGUGAAAUUCGUAGAUAUUCGGAAGAACACCAGUGGCGAAGGCGGCUCACUGGACCGGUAUUGACGCUGAGGUGCGAAGGCGUGGGGAGCAAACAGG
This 253-nucleotide ribosomal RNA is filed under the name uncultured bacterium. RNAcentral's name for it is "partial 16S ribosomal RNA". It matches the Rfam family "Bacterial small subunit ribosomal RNA", at positions 524 to 776 of the family's 1533-position model. The record is from RNAcentral.